AUACGGAGGGGGUUAGCGUUGUUCGGAAUUACUGGGCGUAAAGCGUACGUAGGCGGAUUAGUAAGUUAGGGGUGAAAUCCCGAGGCUCAACCUCGGAACUGCCUCUAAAACUGCUAGUCUUGAGUUCGAGAGAGGUGAGUGGAAUUCCUAGUGUAGAGGUGAAAUUCGUAGAUAUUAUGAGGAACACCAGUGGCGAAGGCGGCUCACUGGCUCGAUACUGACGCUGAGGUACGAAAGUGUGGGGAGCAAACAGGAUUAGAUACCCCAGUAGUCC
This 274-nucleotide ribosomal RNA is filed under the name uncultured bacterium. RNAcentral describes it as "partial 16S ribosomal RNA". It matches the Rfam family "Bacterial small subunit ribosomal RNA", at positions 523 to 796 of the family's 1533-position model. The record is from RNAcentral.